This 142-nucleotide ribosomal RNA is filed under the name uncultured eukaryote. RNAcentral describes it as "partial 18S ribosomal RNA". The record is from RNAcentral.
UGGUUGAUUCCGUUAACGAACGAGAUCUUGACCCUUCAAUGACGGUUGGAUCGACUUGUAGCUCAUUGCUCUUUGGACUCUGUUCACUGGCAUUGAAUGAGAUCUAAACGCGUACUCAAGGGCAACAAGCGAGCCAGUAACA